GCGAAGGUAGCGCAAUCACUUGUCUUUUAAAUGAAGACCUGUAUGAAUGGCACGACGAGGGCUUAACUGUCUCCUUUUUCCAGUCAAUGAAAUUGAUCUUCCCGUGCAGAAGCGGGAAUAAUACCAUAAGACGAGAAGACCCUGUGGAGCUUUAGACACUGAAUCAGCCCUUGUCCAAAAUCCCAGUUAAGGCUAUGAACACUAGAGUGAGAUCUGAUUUAAUGUCUUCGGUUGGGGCGACCUUGGGGAAAGAAAAAUCCCCCAUGCGGAACGGAAAUACUAUGCUUCCAAAACUAAGAGCAACCACUCAAAGUAUCAAAAAUUUUGACCAACUAUACGAUCCGGCUUAACGCCGAUCAACGGACCAAGUUACCCCA
This 377-nucleotide ribosomal RNA is filed under the name Amphiprion clarkii (yellowtail clownfish). RNAcentral describes it as "partial 16S rRNA". It matches the Rfam family "Bacterial large subunit ribosomal RNA", at positions 1950 to 2470 of the family's 2925-position model. Lineage: Eukaryota; Metazoa; Chordata; Actinopteri; Pomacentridae. The record is from RNAcentral.